GAAUGCACUUCCUCUUUGAACAAGGGGAAUUUUUUAGAGUUACUUGAUUGGGUCAAAGAAAGGUGCCUGGAAGUUAAACUUGCAUUUUAUGAGCUAUGUCCUAAAGCCAAAAUGACUUCAGGAACCAUGCAAAAAGAACUUGCUAAAUAUUGUGCAAUGGUGGUCACCAAAGCAGACAAAGAAGAGAUGGAUGGUUGUCUUUUCACUGUUCUUAUUGAUGAGUACCGUGAUAUUUCAGUGAAAGAGCAAAUGGCUAUGGUUGUCAGGUUUUUGAGCAAAAAAGGAGAGACCAUUGAAAGAUUUUUGGGUAUCAAGCAUGUCCCAUACACAACAUCAGCAUCUUUGAAGAAGGCUUUUGUUGGAGGUUUUUGGUAA
Molecule: ribosomal RNA, 375 nt
Filed under: Triticum aestivum (bread wheat)
Lineage: Eukaryota; Viridiplantae; Streptophyta; Magnoliopsida; Poales; Poaceae
Description: partial small subunit ribosomal RNA
Source: RNAcentral